UUCUUGUAUAUAUUUGUGAUUCUGACUGCACUGACAUCAAUGUUGUUUUUGAACAGAGACUACUUGGGAGCGGCCAAGCAGUGUGCCUGGGACACCAAAGAGCCCUGUGACACAGAAGAACUCCUUGCCUACAGUGAAUGGGUAUCACAUACCAGGAACUUUGGUACCCCAACUAGAACCAAGCCACAUGAGUCUCCGCAAAGUCACCAGUGACCCCCAGGUAAGCACAGGAAAUAUUCCUGGAUAUAGAUGAAGGCUUUUAUUUUCUAUGAUUGUUUAGAAAUAGUGCAGUGGGAUGAAGGACUGAAAGCAGUCUUCGUUCACUUAGAUGUGCAGCAGUGAUAGUUCAGUCUUUUAGUCCAAAUUGUGCUGUGAACCUCAAAGUCCUUGUAUUCCUGAACACUCUCUCUCCCUCCCCCUCCCCUCCCCCCCUCCCCCUUCUAUUUUUAUCACUGGAAGCUCUUAUUGAUCUUUCUCAACUUUAGCCAUCUAUGAUCAUUUUGUAGUAUGGAGUUUUUCGGGCUAGGUACCCAACGUGCUUUCUUUUUUGUCAACAUUGAAUGGGAAUUUGUUGCACUUCUUGCAGCUGUUUAAGUGAGCAUCCUCUUGCUAUUGUAGCAUGAGACACUAUAAUCAAGAUGAUUUUUAUUAUCCAUGCAUUCUUUCCUAAAUCUUGGAAGAUUACAGCUAUAUUUCAUAGCAAUGCAUUCC
RNAcentral lists this long non-coding RNA (711 nucleotides) under Podarcis muralis (Common wall lizard). Its description in RNAcentral is "lncRNA (ENSPMRG00000019672.1)". The record is from RNAcentral. Lineage: Eukaryota; Metazoa; Chordata; Lepidosauria; Squamata; Lacertidae.